This 80-nucleotide ribosomal RNA is filed under the name Candidatus Marimicrobium litorale. Its description in RNAcentral is "partial 16S ribosomal RNA". It matches the Rfam family "Bacterial small subunit ribosomal RNA", at positions 1459 to 1533 of the family's 1533-position model. Lineage: Bacteria; Pseudomonadati; Pseudomonadota; Gammaproteobacteria; Cellvibrionales; Halieaceae. The record is from RNAcentral.
ACGGAGUGAUUCAUGACUGGGGUGAAGUCGUAACAAGGUAGCCCUAGGGGAACCUGGGGCUGGAUCACCUCCUUAAACGA